AUUGAACGCUGGCGGCAGGCCUAACACAUGCAAGUCGAACGGUAACAGGAAACAGCUUGCUGUUUCGCUGACGAGUGGCGGACGGGUGAGUAAUGUCUGGGAAACUGCCUGAUGGAGGGGGAUAACUACUGGAAACGGUAGCUAAUACCGCAUAACGUCGCAAGACCAAAGAGGGGGACCUUCGGGCCUCUUGCCAUCGGAUGUGCCCAGAUGGGAUUAGCCAGUAGGUGGGGUAACGGCUCACCUAGGCGCCGAUCCCUAGCUGGUCUGAGAGGAUGACCAGCAACACGGGAACUGAGACACGGUCCGGACUCCUACGGGAGGCAGCAGUGGGGAAUCUUGCACAAUGGGCGCAAGCCUGAUGCAGCCAUGUCGCGUGUAUGAAGAAGGCCUUCGGGUUGUAAAGUACUUUCAGCGGGGAGGAAGGGAGUAAAGUUAAUACCUUUGCUCAUUGACGUUACCCGCAGAAGAAGCACCGGCUAACUCCGUGCCAGCCGCCGCCGUAA
Molecule: ribosomal RNA, 506 nt
Filed under: uncultured bacterium
Lineage: Bacteria
Description: partial 16S ribosomal RNA
Rfam family: Bacterial small subunit ribosomal RNA
Source: RNAcentral